Molecule: ribosomal RNA, 492 nt
Filed under: uncultured bacterium
Lineage: Bacteria
Description: partial 16S ribosomal RNA
Rfam family: Bacterial small subunit ribosomal RNA
Source: RNAcentral
GAUGAACGCUAGCUACAGGCUUAACACAUGCAAGUCGAGGGGAAACGACAUCGAAAGCUUGCUUUUGAUGGGCGUCGACCGGCGCACGGGUGAGUAACGCGUAUCCAACCUGCCCAUCACUUGGGAAUAACCUUGCGAAAGUAAGACUAAUACCCAAUGAUAUCCCACGAAGGCAUCGGAAUGGGAUUAAAGAUUUAUCGGUGAUGGAUGGGGAUGCGUCUGAUUAGCUUGUUGGCGGGGUAACGGCCCACCAAGGCAACGAUCAGUAGGGGUUCUGAGAGGAAGGUCCCCCACAUUGGAACCGGGACACGGUCCAAACUCAUACGGGAGGCAGCAGUGAGGAAUAUUGGUCAAUGGGCGAGAGCCUGAACCAGCCAAGUAGCGUGCAGGAAGACGGCCCUAUGGGUUGUAAACUGCUUUUAUAAGGGAAUAAAGUGGGUCACGUGUGACUUUUUGCAUGUACCUUAUGAAUAAGGACCGGCUAAUUCCGUG